CUGUAGUAUAGCCAUAAUCCAACUGUAAUAUAGCUGGAAGAUAACUAAUGAAGCUUUACUGGCUAAGUGAAAUCAGCUAAGUCCGAUGGGAUCGGUCAAGUCUGAUGUCCCCUUAUUGGGAAUUGAGUAAUAUAUCGAUAGGUCGGUAAUAACCUGAUCCGGCUUAAGCAGUGAUGGUGAAUUUUUAGAUCAGCUGAUAUAAUAUGGUGAUGUUUUUCCUACAGAUCGGCUAAAAUCGAUAUUCCGCUAAUACAAACUAAACAGGUCAG
RNAcentral lists this long non-coding RNA (269 nucleotides) under Elaeis guineensis (African oil palm). RNAcentral describes it as "long non-coding RNA (EGUI_LNC031439)". Lineage: Eukaryota; Viridiplantae; Streptophyta; Magnoliopsida; Arecales; Arecaceae. The record is from RNAcentral.